UGUGACUCACAUAGUCUGAUGAGGAAAUCCCAACUGAAAUUUACUUCUUUCUUCACCCAACUUGACCUAACUUCAAAGCCUAUAAAAACUACCUUUCAGAAGACUUUUAAGAGAGAGAAAUACCAUAUUGACGUUUGAGAGUCAAGCCACAGAGUCAUUGAAGGAAUUUGAAGGAUUCAAGGAGAUUUGGAGAUCAAGAAUACAAUCCUUGGUUUUUUCUAUCUUUUUGUUAUUCUUUUAUUCUCUUGGUUUUAAUGUUUAAAUUUUAUUCAAUGAUGAUGUGUGAUUUGAUGGGGAACUAAAUUGUUAAUCUAAGAUUAUGAUUGAACUCAAUACGUAGUCUGAAUUAUUUAUUUCUCUUUUACUUAUGUUUGAUAGAUUUAAGUUGUUAAUUUUAUUCUAUUCUUAAUGCUUCUAGUUGACUGGCAGUUUAGGUAGGUUAAACCUUAAUGAAAGAGAUUUAGGUAGACCUUGAAUAGAAUAGCGUAUGAUUGAAUGCACUUAGUUGAUUAGGUGAUUGAUUUGCAUAUAGGAUAGAUAUACACCUAUAAUCCAUAUGUAGCCAAAAUUAGAGCACAAACUUAAUGAAUCUUUCUACAAUAUAAUUUGCAUAGACAUAUAGUAAAUUAAUUGAAAAAUGUAUUUUUAUGAGAAACUCGACAAAAACUUGUAAAUAAUUUAAGACUCUAGGUUAGCAACUUAAUCUAUUAAACUAAGUUAAGAUAGAAAGACAAUAUUCAGAUGAAAUAUUGAAGAUAUCAUAAUUUUAGAUCUGGUAGUUGCUCAAAUUUAAUAAAGUAAAUUUACUAAUAGAUUUUAGAUUAGUUUUAAUUAUAGUUUUUAGUUUAUUAAUUUAAAUUUUUCUUGUUUUAAUUAUUUAGAUAAAAUUAAGGUGUGUUAAUUUUAGUAGUUAAUAAUAAGGAUUAAUUCAAUUCUACUCAUCUCUAUAUUAUCUUUGCAAUACGCGUACUUAUGUGAGUAAAAAAUUAAACAACACCACCCCUACCAAUUUUGGUGACUAAAAAAAAAAUGUCACAUAAUACCUUUUGAAGUAGCCGAAUUUGGGUGACAAGGGAAUCACCUCCAACUACCUUAAACUCGAGAUAUGAAUUAGAAGUGAGUAAAUGGGUGGAUUAGGUAGUUUGGUCCACCAUACCUAAGAAUCAAAUGGACCAAUCAUUUUUAAAAAAUCGAUCAAAUAUAAUGGAAGACCAAAUAGACCAAACAUAGAAUUGAUUUGGUUGAUCCGGUUUUGAACCAAUGGAUCAAAAUUUUAUCACCUUUUGGUUACAAAUUAUAAUAUUAAAACUUAUAAACUUCAUCCAUAAUUAUAUAUAUAUGAAAUUAAUUAUAUAACUUAUAUGUUAUAAUAUUUUAUAUUGAAGUUUGUAUAAAUAAUAACUAAUUAUAAACAAUAUGUUAUAAAAUCUAAAGUUAUAGCUAAUAAACUUAUUAAGCAUAAUCAUAUAAAUAAAAUUUAUUAUAAGUUAUAGUAAUACUUAUAUAUAAAUUAAAUAUAUGUAUAUAUAUAAUAUAUUACAUUAUUAUAUAUAUGUAAAAUAUAUGAUACAAAUUAUAUGUUAAACUGUUUUAUAUAAUUAUAUAAAUAAAAUCAAUUAUAAGUUAUAGUAAUGCUUAUGUAUAAAUUAAAUAUAUGACUUUAUUAUAUAUAUAUAUAUAAUUAAUGACAUAACUUAUAUGUUAUAAUGUUUUAUAUCAACGUUUGUAUAAAUAAUAACUAAUUAUAAACAAUAUGCUAUAAAAUCUAAGGUAAUAACUAAUAAAAUUAUUAAAUAUAAUCAUAUAAAUAAAGUUUAUUAUAAUUAUAGUAAUGCUUAUGUAUAUGUAUAUAUAAUGUAUUUAUACAAUUAUAUAUAUAUAUAUAUAUAUUCAUACCAUUUUAUAUUUCGAAACAUUACUAAAGAGUAAUAAUUAUAACAUAAUAAUAUGUAAGAUAUUUACUAUUAUAUAUUAUAAUAUUAACAUAUAACUUAUAUUAUUUAAAAUAUAUAACUUGUAAUUUCAUAUUAAUACAGAUUUAUAAAUAAAUAAAUAUAUAUAACUAAUAUUAAAUUACUAUGAUUAUGAUUUGUAUACAUACAUAUAAUACUUUAAUAUAUUUUAAAUAUAUUAUUAAUUAAGUUUACUAUCAAUUCUUCUUAAUAUAUAAAAAAAUAUUAUAUAUAUGACUAUAUACAACAAUAUAUAAAAAAUUAGUUUUAUUUUUUAGGUGGAUUGGUCCAAAAAUUUUAAAACCGAGAAUCAAUCAAAAAAUCAAUUGGACCAAUUGAUCUAAUGGAUCAAUUAGACUGAACUAUUUUACUCAAAUCGUAUUUGAUUUAAGUAGGUAAUUAAUUUGGAUUGGUUUUACUCAUUACUAAUAUGAAUUCUCGAGCUGUAUUAUAAAUAGCAACCUGGAGGAGGAGAAAAGGGGACCCCAGAAAGGUGUUUUCGGCGGUUUCACAGAAAAUUGUGAUGAAAAAUAGCUUUCAUUCCCAAAUAAAAGGAGCAGCCAAACAAUAAAUUAGGUGAAAAAGAGUUUUAUUCCGAAACCGAAAAGAGCAGCCAAACUCGAUGCCAAACAGAAGUGCGUCCAUGGAACUUUGACAAAACUGGUGGUGGAAAAGCUCUUUUACGAAUGGUGUUUGGCUUUGAGCAGCCUAACUCAAUGCCAAACAGAAGUGCUUCCCCAUAGUUUGGUAAAAAUUGGGGAAAAGAGCUUUUAUUUCCAAAGGACGAGGUGUUUGGCUUUUGGCUUUCGGCUUUAAGCAGCCUAACUCAAUGCCAAGCGAAGGAUUUUAAUGAAUUAAAAAGUUCUUGAAAUAUUUAAAAAACAUUUAAAUAAAAAUCUUUAUUUUCUUAUUAUAUUUAAUCAAAAUUUUAUAUUUUUAUUUUAAAUUAAAUAAAUAGUUACAAUUAAUCAUAAAUUA
This 2930-nucleotide long non-coding RNA is filed under the name Theobroma cacao (cacao). RNAcentral describes it as "long non-coding RNA (TCAC_LNC004754)". The record is from RNAcentral. Lineage: Eukaryota; Viridiplantae; Streptophyta; Magnoliopsida; Malvales; Malvaceae.